Molecule: ribosomal RNA, 466 nt
Filed under: uncultured bacterium
Lineage: Bacteria
Description: bacterial SSU rRNA
Rfam family: Bacterial small subunit ribosomal RNA
Source: RNAcentral
AACGAACGCUGGCGGCAGGCUUAACACAUGCAAGUCGAACGCCCCGCAAGGGGAGUGGCAGACGGGUGAGUAACACGUGGGAACGUGCCCUUCGCUUCGGGAUAGCCUCGGGAAACUGGGAGUAAUACCGAAUACGCCGUAUUGGGAAAGAUAUAUCGGCGAAGGAUCGGCCCGCGGUUGAUUAGCUAGUUGGCGGGGUAAAGGCCCACCAAGGCGAUGAUCAAUAGGGGACCUGAGAGGGUGAUCCCCCACACUGGCACUGAGAUACGGGCCAGACUCCUACGGGAGGCAGCAGUAGGGAAUAUUGGACAAUGGGUGUAAGCCUGAUCCAGCCAUGCCGCGUGCAGGAAGAAGGCCUUCUGGGUUGUAAACUGCUUUUGCCGGGGGAUAAAAGAUCCAUGCGUGGAGAAUUGAAGGUACCCGGUGAAUAAGCCACGGCUAACUACGUGCCAGCAGCCGCGGUAAU